RNAcentral lists this ribosomal RNA (1486 nucleotides) under metagenome. RNAcentral's name for it is "bacterial SSU rRNA". It matches the Rfam family "Bacterial small subunit ribosomal RNA". The record is from RNAcentral.
GGAGUUUGAUCCUGGCUCAGGAUGAACGCUAGCUACAGGCUUAACACAUGCAAGUCGAGGGGCAGCAUGGUCUUAGCUUGCUAAGGCCGAUGGCGACCGGCGCACGGGUGAGUAACACGUAUCCAACCUGCCGUCUACUCUUGGACAGCCUUCUGAAAGGAAGAUUAAUACAAGAUGGCAUCAUGAGUCCGCAUGUUCACAUGAUUAAAGGUAUUCCGGUAGACGAUGGGGAUGCGUUCCAUUAGAUAGUAGGCGGGGUAACGGCCCACCUAGUCUUCGAUGGAUAGGGGUUCUGAGAGGAAGGUCCCCCACAUUGGAACUGAGACACGGUCCAAACUCCUACGGGAGGCAGCAGUGAGGAAUAUUGGUCAAUGGGCGAGAGCCUGAACCAGCCAAGUAGCGUGAAGGAUGACUGCCCUAUGGGUUGUAAACUUCUUUUAUAAAGGAAUAAAGUCGGGUAUGCAUACCCGUUUGCAUGUACUUUAUGAGUAAGGAUCGGCUAACUCCGUGCCAGCAGCCGCGGUAAUACGGAGGAUCCGAGCGUUAUCCGGAUUUAUUGGGUUUAAAGGGAGCGUAGAUGGAUGUUUAAGUCAGUUGUGAAAGUUUGCGGCUCAACCGUAAAAUUGCAGUUGAUACUGGAUAUCUUGAGUGCAGUUGAGGCAGGCGGAAUUCGUGGUGUAGCGGUGAAAUGCUUAGAUAUCACGAAGAACUCCGAUUGCGAAGGCAGCCUGCUAAGCUGCAACUGACAUUGAGGCUCGAAAGUGUGGGUAUCAAACAGGAUUAGAUACCCUGGUAGUCCACACGGUAAACGAUGAAUACUCGCUGUUUGCGAUAUACAGCAAGCGGCCAAGCGAAAGCGUUAAGUAUUCCACCUGGGGAGUACGCCGGCAACGGUGAAACUCAAAGGAAUUGACGGGGGCCCGCACAAGCGGAGGAACAUGUGGUUUAACUCGAUGAUACGCGAGGAACCUUACCCGGGCUUAAAUUGCAGAUGAAUUACGGUGAAAGCCGUAAGCCGCAAGGCAUCUGUGAAGGUGCUGCAUGGUUGUCGUCAGCUCGUGCCGUGAGGUGUCGGCUUAAGUGCCAUAACGAGCGCAACCCUUGUUGUCAGUUACUAACAGGUCAUGCUGAGGACUCUGACAAGACUGCCAUCGUAAGAUGUGAGGAAGGUGGGGAUGACGUCAAAUCAGCACGGCCCUUACGUCCGGGGCUACACACGUGUUACAAUGGGGGGUACAGAGGGCCGCUACCACGCGAGUGGAUGCCAAUCCCAAAAACCUCUCUCAGUUCGGACUGGAGUCUGCAACCCGACUCCACGAAGCUGGAUUCGCUAGUAAUCGCGCAUCAGCCGCGGCGCGGUGAAUACGUUCCCGGGCCUUGUACACACCGCCCGUCAAGCCAUGGGAGCCGGGGGUACCUGAAGUGCGUAACCGCGAGGAGCGCCCUAGGGUAAAACUGGUGACUGGGGCUAAGUCGUAACAAGGUA